RNAcentral lists this long non-coding RNA (6294 nucleotides) under Homo sapiens (human). RNAcentral's name for it is "HSALNT0156813". Lineage: Eukaryota; Metazoa; Chordata; Mammalia; Primates; Hominidae. The record is from RNAcentral.
AGAAGUCAACCCCGAGGAAGGGUGCGGCCCCGCCCACCUCCUUGUGGACGGACGCUCUGGGUGUCUCGGUCUCCAUGGGACACCUCUGGGGGAGUGAGUCUUUUCUCCUCUUCCUCACCCCUGGCCAGGGUUCCUCCUUCACUGGAAUCCCCCUGGUCUGCGGAAUACGUGUCUAAGAGGUUGUCGCGGCCAUAGUGCUGCUUCAAGAAUGUGAGCACGUGGCCUUCAUCCCAGCUGGCCAGGCCCUUAAUUUCCUCAUGGCAGGCUGGGCAGAGGUCCGGAGUGGGCCACUGAAGCUUUGGAAACCGGGGAUCCUCACUCAGAUGGCCUAGGAAGAAAAGGAAGCGGGAGAGCCAGAGGGAAGGAGGCUUUGUGCAGCCACGUGCAGCGUGCGGCAACCGGACUCCCACUCCCACCCACCACGGGCCUCCACUGCCCUGGCCCAGGGUCCUGCCAGGCCUCCCUCCCUGCCCUUCCCACCACCCGUCCCUUGCAGUUCGGCCCAGAUAACAUCCUGCUUCUGCAGGCCCCUGCGCACGUGUUCCCCUCUGCCGGUUCCCAUAGCCUGCAAGUGAGGAGACGCUACACGCUCGGCCUCCGCCACUUCCCAGACCACACCUGUCCCAAACCACCCAGCACUCCACUUCCAAAACGGAGCAUGCAGCUCUCACCUGGAGGCCUUUCUCCGCACAGUGCUGCCUGUGUGCCCCUCCCCCCACUGCUGCCCCUCUGCCCUUUCCUGAGGGUGCACCUGAGGCCCACUACCUACAGAGCCCCGGCCACCUGGGUGCUAUGGACAGUGGGCCUUAGGUGCACCUUCAGGAAAGGGCAGAGGGGCAGCAAUGAAUUUCCACUGCACUUCAGGUACACUGGCCCUUUCCGGACUACAAAUCCCUUCAAGAUCUCCAAAACUCGUUUCUGAAGUGACAUGUGCUCACUUCCAGGCCCAACAGGCAUCCGUCAUGCAGAAGCUGCGGCGCACGGCGCCUCCUAGCUCUCGGAGCCCCUGCGACCCGACUUGCUGACACCUGGCCACCCUCACAGAGCUUCCAGAAGUGAAUGUAAACACAACCACGUUUGUCUGGGGGACUUGAGACGUGCCUGAAAUCAAGAGAUGCCCUACUCGGGCCAGUCACUGACUGCGUGCUUAUCCGGCCAACCGGCAGCAGGUGCUGCACACGAAGCCAGAGGGGACAAGCACAGACCAGUGGCACCUUGGUCAGAAGCUGCCAGAGCUUCAUGUAGGACUGUCAAAUAAGGCGCCAGCCCUGGGCAGAAGACCCCAGGCACAUCUCCGAGGGGCCUCCCAGGAGCUUGGGUCUCAAUGCACAGGCUGGAGGUGGGACUGGAGUGGGAAUCUCAGGAGUGACAAUCACACUGGGCUGUAAGGCCCCUUUCUGUUGCAGUCUCAUGACUGGGGUAGUGGGGGCACAUGCGGGCUGGGGCCACAGGUAGCAGCAGGGGCUCCAGGUCCAGGCAGGCCUGGCGAGGGUCCUGGUCCCACUGCCUCAGAGCCGAGGGCUCGGGGAAAGCACAGGGAGCUCUGUGGGCGGCGGCGAUGCAGAGGCUGCCAGGGCGGAGAGACGGAGAAGCUGCGCUGACCGAGGGAACAAACCCCGCAGACACACAGCGCCUUCGUCACAUGACCCCGGCCCCGGCAGUCAGGCUCAGGGCAAAGAAAAACCAAUUUCUUUAGUGCUUCAGCUGUAAUAUGUUUUUCUAACACAGUGGAUUAAAUAAAAACCAAUAGUUUAGUGGCAUUUUCUAUUCAUCUCUAUUAAGAUUUCUCAGUGGAAUUAUUUUUAAGCCUAAUUUUAAUCUGCCACUGAUUUAGGAACAGUUUGAAGUACUUAACUCUGAGAAAAUACAUGUGCCCUAUUUAAUUAUUUUUUUUUAACAAAACAAAGCACUUUGAGAGGUUUGGUUUACGUUUGGACAACAGAUUUCCAUACUACUAAAAUUCCUCAUCAAAAAUUAAUUACGUUCCAAGCUUUCCAGAGUCAAAAACAUCUUCAGAGUCUAACGGGCUACCAGUGGGUACCGAUGGGGGAAGAAAGAGCCACACCCAUUUCCACGGGGUCGAAGAGCCCCCGGAGUGAGAGAAGCAUCUAGAAAGCCGGGGACAGAAGCAGCCUGGGAAAGGCUGCAGCUCUGGCAGCUCUCAGCCACCCAAGUCCUGAUCCCGUCAGCACAGUGGGUGGCACGAGGCCGCAAAGCUCAGGGACAAGCCCCACGGCAGCCGUGCCGUCCUUGCUGUCCCAGGACCAGGGCCUCCCUCCGCCCGUGCUGAGCCCCCCAUGCCCAGGGGCUUCUCACCUGCCAGGCGGCCGUUCACCAUAUUAUGCUUCUUCCACAGCCAGAGGAUGGCUUGGUCUGGGGUUUUCACCGAGUCCAUGGAUUCUUUAGCCAUUUCCUCAAAGUGCUCACCACAUUCCUUACACCCAAAGAAGGUGUGAACGUACCUCCUCAUUGUCUGCAGCACAGCCUGGGGGUCGUCUUCAAAGCCUGCAGGGGAAGAAACACUGCUGACAACGGCAGGUGCGUGGGCAUCACCUGACCCCACGCUUGUCCAGAGAGCCUGGGGGGAAACCGCUCCUGACAUGUCGGGAAGCCACCUCAUGUCUCCCCAGGGGCCUCAGGCUGUGGGCACAGACCAGAAGCCAGCACCUGCCAAGAUGUCCAACACGCCCACGGGUGCUGCAGGCUCUGGAGACACAAUGACUGUGGACAGCCCAGAGGGCGGACAUGCUCCCCAGAUGCCCUGGUGCCAGGAGGAUGAGCCACGGACUCGGCCGCCAGGGCCCAAAGGAGCCCUUCCAGGGGCGCCUCCCACCUCCCACCAGUCUUCCAGCCGUCUGUGCCAGAACGCCCGGAGUGCCGCUCUUCCCCGGGAUUUGCCAGCUGGGUGCAGUCUCUCUUGCCUUACAAGCAACUCUCAGGGGCUGGUACCAGGGCAAUGACUCUGCUCAUUCUAAACCUGCAGCUGUCGCGUUUGAAAGCCCUGCAGGACACCAGCCCAAGUGGGGACACGGCCUUAGGAAGUGACUCUUAAGCUGCCGCCAGCCACGGGCGUGAGGAUGUGGAGCAGGUGGGCAGGCACAGGGACGGGUGCACCCACAGCCAGAGUUUGUGCCACCGAACGUAUUAACAGACAUGGACAGGCCGGGGCGCUUCCGCAGAUACUGUGAAUGAACAACACACAUCUCAAGAAAGCAACACCUGCCCACAGGUGGCAGGAAGCAGCCAGCACCGCAACCAAGGGGAACCCCUGAGAAAACCAAGGGGGCAGCAUGGGGCGGGGCUCGGCAGUCCCCACUCAGACGACUGACACAGGAGCUUGAACGCACAGAUAGGAGACCCAUGAGAUUAAAACAGAUUACAUGUCAGCAUUAAAAAAAGACAUGCUUUCGCGAAUGAAUCCGUCUUCAUCGACAGCAGGCCCUGGGGGAGCUUCCCGCGUGAGUGCAGGCCUGACGCUUGUCGUGGCUCCCUGCAAAACACAGCUGCGUGCAGGCCCUGACCUCAGCGUCCUGGUCGGUCCCAAAUCCCGACACUUCUUGUUUAUUUCACCCAGAAAGGUGAGAGCAGAGCAGAGCAGACCACCUCCUCCUCAGCCUUGAGCGUGUCCACGGGCAGCUGGGCGGUGUCUCAGAUGGGACCGCAGGCGCUGGCCCUGUGACCCGGCCCGUCUGCCCUGCUCUCCUGCCGGGAGGGCUCCACAGACAUCUGCCUUGCAUCUCCACGUAAUCCCCCUCCUCUUCCCCACAUCACCGCAGGCGCGGGGCCACCCUAAUCUUUAAAGUGGACAAGAACCAUAAACCUCUACCUGUGGGAGGAUUAGAGGCCUUCACAGGCAUUUUACUAGAUAGGGCUUAAACAUACAGUAAAGAGAAGAAAAACCUUCCAAGACUUAAUCCCGUGGUCGCCUCUGACCCAAUUCUCUUGGCAGGAGGCUACUCCUGGAGGCUGCUUCCAAUAUGCUGAUGGGCGGAAGGAGCGCUGAGGGUCUUGCUAGCAGUGUGCUUUGCCAUCACACUGCUCUUACAAUUCCACUACACUAGGGCUGGUCCUAGAAGAGUUUAAAAUCAAAUACCCCGGUCACUCAACUUCUCCCCUUGGCCAACACUGUACCCACACUGCCUUCAAGGAGCCGUUCCUCAUGCCUGCGUGUGCCCGUGUGAUCAGAGCAGACGGAAAGGGGGAUGGCAUGUCAGCUCAUCUCCUCACCAGAACUUUCCAUGUGUAAACGUGAGGUUUCCUAACUCAGGCUCACGCUUCAGAAGCAGUUUUGUUGUGUUUUUUUUUUUUUUUUUUUUUUGAGACAGUCUUGCUGUUGCCCAGGCUGGAGUGCAGUGGCAUGAUCUUGGCUCACUGCAACCUCCAGUGCUGGGAUUACAGGUGUGAGCCUUGUGCACAGCUCAGAAUCAGAUUUACAUGGUCUGGCUGGGCAUUCGGUCGGAAUCAGGUUUGCAUGGUCUAGCUGGGCAUUAGAUCAGGCAGUGUGGAUGCUGUGAUUUCAAUUUCUGUUUGGACAGCUCCCAAGGUUUCUCCCCAAAAACAUACUACUCUUUUUUUCUGUAUGAUUAUGAAAAGGAUUUGAGGUUAAAACCCACCCUCUCCCCCAACCAGACCCCCGAGAAGCAGUAAUCCAAUAUCACCUUGAGGAGGGCCAAAACAGAUUUUCAGAAGGCCACUAUAGUGCCCCCAUCCCGGGACACUCUCCCAUUAACAGGUGGAAUCUAUUUCUCUCACCACGAAUUUAGGCUGGGUCAACAGGAUGCGGCAGAAGUAAUAAUAUGUGACUCCACACUGAGGUGGACUCUCAGGGGGUCCUGCCUGAACCUGGUGCUACUUGGUGGGGAAGCCACGUUCAGGAGUACGAGGCAUUCCAAGGUCCCCUGGACUGACCAGCUGCCACCAGACGAAGGCAGACACACACGAGUGAGCCCAAGCAGCAACUCACAGAAGAACCGCCCAGCCGAGCCCAGCCCAAACUGCUGAUCCACAGCAUGAUAAGCAAACAGUGGUGGCUGCUUUAAGCCCCAGCAUUUUAGGUUAGUUUGUUAUGUGGCAAAAAAUAACCGUAAAGGAAUUUGAGAAUCUUACUGGAAAGAGCGUUGAACUGUGUGAGUCAAGACUCCACUUCGGCUUUGAAGUAAACAUUAAUGAACCUGAAUUACUGCUUCAACUGGGAAGCACACACACAACAAAAUUCAGGGGGGAUAAAAAAUCCAAUACAUACUUUAGUGUUCUGUGAAGGACAGAAAAUUUGUUUUUAUCUAUUUCCUAGUAAUUGAAAAUUAUUAAAUCCAACUUCGAAGUUUUAUAGGUUUUAACCCCUUGUGGUGGGCAGCCUCUGCGACGGUCCCCACAGAUCACACCACCUAUACUCACGCCUCCUGUAAUGUCCUCCCCUUGCGAGUGGCCUGGGCCUGGGGACUGACUAGUAAGCAGAAUCUGACAGAGGUGAUGGAAUAUCAUCCUCGGAUAGGCACCCUCUCACUGGCUUGCUGAUGAGGCUUGCUGCCAUGAUGUGAGCCGCCCGAUGGAGAGGCCCUGAGCGUGGCCUGCAGUCAACAGCCAGCAUGGAGCUCAGGGCCUUAGGCAAGCCACGUGCAAGGAGGCAGGCCCUGCUCUCUGCCCCAUGAGGGUGCUGGGAAGCCACUCUCCCCAGGUGGGCCUUGGGUGACCCCCCAGGCCCAGCUGACACUCCGACUGCAGCCUGACCAAUCCUGAAGAAGAGGACCCAGAUGAGGCCAUGCCCGGCCCUCAGAAACCAUGAGCUCAUAACCGUGCGUGGUUCCCGUGGUUCUGGCUGCUAAAUUUUGGGGUGAUUUGUUAUACAACAGCUGAUAAUGAGAACACCUCUCCAAACAGAUUUCACUUAUUCUGUCUUUUUAAAGCAAAAAACAGGGAGUUUACACUGCAGGGAAACUCCCAGCCAGCACUCUUUCUUCUUUAUGGUUUAUUUCCUGCACGUUAGCCAUGCACAUCCUUGCGAGUUCUGACAAGGGGAACUCGUGCCCCCGCAGCCACAGCCCUGGGUGAGCUGACCGUGUGAGAGGAGUCUGAAGUGCCAUUCCCCUGCCUCAGUGGCCUGGCGACAUGCUGCCUCCCAUACAGCAGUACAUGCCUUUGCACACACCGGCUGGGUUAACUUGUUAGGCAGACCAUCGGCCCCUCUGGCCUGUAUGGGCACAGCUUACCUGUGCCAACCAGUGCAUCUGGGUGGGUCGAGGCUUCAACAGUCAAAGUGUGGAACAGUUUCCAGAGAGAACACGGGUAACCCCUCAA